Molecule: ribosomal RNA, 904 nt
Filed under: uncultured Halomonas sp.
Lineage: Bacteria; Pseudomonadati; Pseudomonadota; Gammaproteobacteria; Oceanospirillales; Halomonadaceae
Description: bacterial SSU rRNA
Rfam family: Bacterial small subunit ribosomal RNA
Source: RNAcentral
AGGCUCACCAAGGCGACGAUCCGUAGCUGGUCUGAGAGGAUGAUCAGCCACAUCGGGACUGAGACACGGCCCGAACUCCUACGGGAGGCAGCAGUGGGGAAUAUUGGACAAUGGGGGGAACCCUGAUCCAGCCAUGCCGCGUGUGUGAAGAAGGCCCUCGGGUUGUAAAGCACUUUCAGUGAGGAAGAACGCCUGGUGGUUAAUACCCAUCAGGAAAGACAUCACUCACAGAAGAAGCACCGGCUAACUCCGUGCCAGCAGCCGCGGUAAUACGAAGGGUGCAAGCGUUAAUCGGAAUUACUGGGCGUAAAGCGCGCGUAGGUGGCUUGAUAAGCCGGUUGUGAAAGCCCCGGGCUCAACCUGGGAACGGCAUCCGGAACUGUCAAGCUAGAGUGCAGGAGAGGAAGGUAGAAUUCCCGGUGUAGCGGUGAAAUGCGUAGANGAUCGNGGAGGAAUACCAGUGGUGAAGGCGGCCUUCUGGACUGACACUGACACUGAGGUGCGAAAGCGUGGGUAGCAAACAGGAUUAGAUACCCUGGUAGUCCACGCCGUAAACGAUGUCGACCAGCCGUUGGGUGCCUAGCGCACUUUGUGGCGAAGUUAACGCGAUAAGUCGACCGCCUNGNGNNGNGANGUACGGCCGCAAGGUUAAAACUCAAAUGAAUUGACGGGGGCCCGCACAAGCGGUGGAGCAUGUGGUUUAAUUCGAUGCAACGCGAAGAACCUUACCUACUCUUGACAUCCUGCGAACUUGUGAGAGAUCACUUGGUGCCUUCGGGAACGCAGAGACAGGUGCUGCAUGGCUGUCGUCAGCUCGUGUUGUGAAAUGUUGGGUUAAGUCCCGUAACGAGCGCAACCCUUGUCCUUAUUUGCCAGCGCGUAAUGGCGGGAACUCUAAGGAGAC